Long non-coding RNA from Aedes albopictus (Asian tiger mosquito), 732 nucleotides. RefSeq lists it as uncharacterized. The record is from RefSeq and is a predicted model, not a curated record. Lineage: Eukaryota; Metazoa; Arthropoda; Insecta; Diptera; Culicidae. The transcript is spliced from 4 exons.
GUGCAAUUCCCGAGUCGUUACCACGCUGAAAAACAACGGACUGUAUCGGGUCGUGAUCACCAAUCCGGUGCAUCUCCACGAACCCAACAAACCCAGUGCCUAUAGAAGAGUCGAGCAGAUUUCAGCCAGUUUCGACUAAAUUAUGAAAUCAACCAAAAGGGCUUUCGAAGGCUGUUCAUUGAUGGGCACAGCUUCAUUCGAAAAGAGGCGCGAAAGAACACCAUUCGUUGGCGGUGUAAACACUACAAUGAUGUGCGUUACAAAUGUGCCGCCCGGGCUACGUCCAUCAAUGAGCCCAAUGGCAAACUUAUUUCCUACAAUGGCGAACACAAUCAUGGAAUCGUAGAAAACAGACACAGACGAAGCGAUCGAAAGCGAGUUGGAGCAGAACGAUGAGCAGAGUUUUCGGAUCAAUGUGUGUUCAUCAAGUCAGAAUUAAUUAUUCCCCCGAAUAAAGCUGUGUGCGAUACUGUGAAACUGUUGUUUGUGUUUGAUUUUGAGUCAAAGCAACUGUCGUUGUACUAGAUGGCUAAUCAUUUGUAUUUUUCUUUUCAGUGAAAAAUGACGUAGCCUAUGUGCAGACAAGUCGAGGCAUACAAUUGUCAAUCAAUGGUUAUUUGUUCAAAGCAUGGAAAUCGGUUAAGAACGUAGGAAUAUGGCAGUGUCUUCAGUUUUCUGAAUAUGAUUGCCCAGUACAGGCUAGUACGGAACGAACCAAGGAUGGAAAGCAAG